RNAcentral lists this ribosomal RNA (274 nucleotides) under uncultured bacterium. Its description in RNAcentral is "partial 16S ribosomal RNA". It matches the Rfam family "Bacterial small subunit ribosomal RNA", at positions 523 to 796 of the family's 1533-position model. The record is from RNAcentral.
AUACGGAGGAUGCGAGCGUUAUCCGGAUUUAUUAGGUUUAAAGGGUGUGUAGGCGGUAUUUUAAGUCAGUGGUGAAAUCUUUCAGCUUAACUGAGAAACUGCCAUUGAUACUGGAAUACUUGAGUAUAGUUGAGGUAGGCGGAAUAUGUAAUGUAGCGGUGAGAUGCAUAGAUAUUACAUAGAACACCGAUUGCGAAGGCAGCUUACUAAACUAUUACUGACGCUGAUGCACGAAAGCGUGGGGAGCGAACAGGAUUAGAAACCCUUGUAGUCC